Molecule: ribosomal RNA, 253 nt
Filed under: uncultured bacterium
Lineage: Bacteria
Description: partial 16S ribosomal RNA
Rfam family: Bacterial small subunit ribosomal RNA
Source: RNAcentral
UACAGAGGGUGCGAGCGUCAAUCGGAAUUACUGGGCGUAAAGCGCGCGUAGGUGGUUGAUUAAGUCGAUUGUGAAAUACCUGGGCUUAACCUGGGAACUGCAGUUGAUACUGGUUGACUAGAGUAUGGUAGAGGGAAGUGGAAUUUCCGGUGUAGCGGUGAAAUGCGUAGAUAUCGGAAGGAACACCAGUGGCGAAGGCGACUUCCUGGACUAAUACUGACACUGAGGUGCGAAAGCGUGGGUAGCGAACAGG